Molecule: long non-coding RNA, 757 nt
Organism: Rhagoletis zephyria (snowberry fruit fly)
Lineage: Eukaryota; Metazoa; Arthropoda; Insecta; Diptera; Tephritidae
Source: RefSeq, a predicted model, not a curated record
UUGACUUACUUUUUAUCCAUUAUAGUACCCCUUUUUUGUAAAAAUUUUGUAGACGAAAACUACAGCGACUCAGAAAUAGCAAUAGAAUGAUGAGAGAUUGAAAACCGUUCACAGUCGCUAACUGAGCGACUAAUCGACACUCAUAAUAGCAUCGAUAACACUAUGUAACAAGGUUUUUGUCCCUGGGUUGUAAUUGUUAUUUCCUAGUCAGUUAGGUCCCAAAAGUAUAGAAAACAGCUAUUGUCGCAAGAUAACUUUGCUUUUGCGAAAGUUACAGCCGGUAUCUUCGUUGGACCACAAAUAAAGAAAAUCUUCGAGUCUGAGGAAUUCCCCAAGAAGCUCACUCGUGUUGAGAAAGCUGCUUGGAUGAGUUUUAUGUCAGUGGUACAGGGAUUCCUAGGCAAUCACAAAGCCGCAAACUACGUGGAGCUGGUCGAAAGUCUGGUGGAGAACUACGGCAAAAUGGGCUGCAGGAUGUCUCUCAAACUCCAUAUUCUGGAUGCACAUCUUGACAAAUUCAAGGAGAACAUGGGAGCAUAUUCAGAGGAGCAAGGCGAGCGCUUCCAUCAGGAUAUAAUGGAAUUUGAGCGGCGAUACCAAGGACAAUACAAUGAGAACAUGAUGGGAGAUUACAUUUGGGGAUUGAUUAGAGAAAGUGACUCGCAGUUUAAACGCAAAUGUCGAAAAACCACCCGCUUCUGAUUUACUUUUAUGUUUUUGGUUUUCUGAAGUUUUAAUAAAAUUUAGUUUUGAUUUA